This 161-nucleotide ribosomal RNA is filed under the name uncultured bacterium. Its description in RNAcentral is "partial 16S ribosomal RNA". It matches the Rfam family "Bacterial small subunit ribosomal RNA", at positions 372 to 527 of the family's 1533-position model. The record is from RNAcentral.
CGGUUCGGCGUCUUGAUGGAGCAACGCCGCGUGAGUGAGAAGGUUUUCGGAUCGUAGAGCUCUGUUGUAGGAGAAGAACGUGUGUGACAGUAACUGGUCUUUAGGGACGGUAUCCUACCAGAAAGCGACGGCUUAAUACCUGCCGCCGCCGCGGUAAUUAA